RNAcentral lists this long non-coding RNA (292 nucleotides) under Nicotiana benthamiana. RNAcentral's name for it is "long non-coding RNA (NBEN_LNC031163)". The record is from RNAcentral. Lineage: Eukaryota; Viridiplantae; Streptophyta; Magnoliopsida; Solanales; Solanaceae.
AGUGUUCUUUUAAACGUUUGAAAUAUAAUCGAUUAUACAUGGUUGAUAAUCGAUUAUGUUAGCACAGUAUCUUAAACUGAUUUUUGAACGUUAACGUAUAAUCGAUUAUACAGUCCACAUAAUCGAUUAUUCUCCCUAAAAUCAGGAGAUUGUUUUUUGAACGUUGGUCAAAUAAUCGAUUAUACAGACCAUAUAAUCGAUUAUCUGGGCACAAAAUCAGCAUAAUUAAUUAUCAAUUAAGCAACGGUCAUGCACCCUUUUUCACCUAUAAAAAGAGGUCUUUUGAGCUGAU